RNAcentral lists this transfer RNA (68 nucleotides) under Rattus norvegicus (Norway rat). It matches the Rfam family "tRNA". Rfam says of the family: Transfer RNA (tRNA) molecules are approximately 80 nucleotides in length. Their secondary structure includes four short double-helical elements and three loops (D, anti-codon, and T loops). Further hydrogen bonds mediate the characteristic L-shaped molecular structure. tRNAs have two regions of fundamental functional importance: the anti-codon, which is responsible for specific mRNA codon recognition, and the 3' end, to which the tRNAs corresponding amino acid is attached (by aminoacyl-tRNA synthetases). tRNAs cope with the degeneracy of the genetic code in two manners: having more than one tRNA (with a specific anti-codon) for a particular amino acid; and 'wobble' base-pairing, i.e. permitting non-standard base-pairing at the 3rd anti-codon position. The record is from Rfam by way of RNAcentral. Lineage: Eukaryota; Metazoa; Chordata; Mammalia; Rodentia; Muridae.
GGGGAUUUGGCUCAGAGUAGAGCACUUGCCUAGCAAGUGCAAGGCCCUGGGUUCGAUCCCCAGCUCCG